UGAACGUAGCGGCAGGCNUAAUACAUGCAAGUUGGAAGAGAAAGUGGCGCACGGGUGCGUAACGCGUAUGCAACCUACCUUUAUCAKGGGGAUAGCCCGGAGAAAUCCGGAUUAACACCGCAUAAAAACACAGGAUAGCAUUAUCCAAUGUUCAAAUAUUUAUAGGAUAAAGAUGGGCAUGCGUGUCAUUAGCUAGUUGGCGGGGUAACGGCCCACCAAGGCGACGAUGACUAGGGGAUCUGAGAGGAUUACCCCCCACACUGGUACUGAGACACGGACCAGACUCCUACGGGAGGCAGCAGUAAGGAAUAUUGGUCAAUGGAGGCAACUCUGAACCAGCCAUGCCGCGUGCAGGAAGACUGCCCUAUGGGUUGUAAACUGCUUUUAUCCGGGAAUAAACCUCUUUACGAGUAGAGAGCUGAAUGUACCGGAAGAAUAAGU
RNAcentral lists this ribosomal RNA (441 nucleotides) under soil isolate KBS-EC2. Its description in RNAcentral is "bacterial SSU rRNA". It matches the Rfam family "Bacterial small subunit ribosomal RNA", at positions 37 to 491 of the family's 1533-position model. The record is from RNAcentral.